Molecule: non-coding RNA, 208 nt
Organism: Pelobates cultripes (western spadefoot toad)
Lineage: Eukaryota; Metazoa; Chordata; Amphibia; Anura; Pelobatidae
Source: the annotation of a GenBank genome assembly
CCCAAUUACAUCCCUCUAAUGCAUUUAAAACCAUAAUUGUAUCUUUAAUAUAUGAAGUGGUUUGUUUGACUAAGGGUUGCAGUUGUAUAUCCACGUAAUGGGUUAAUCUAUUUGAUACAGAGUCUAUUCCUGCCACUAUCGGUCGUCCUGGGGGAUUCUUGGUGUCCUUAUGGAUUUUGGGGAGGAAAUAGAAAACUGGGAUUUUAGG